UACGUAGGGGGCAAGCGUUGUCCGGAAUCAUUGGGCGUAAAGCGCGUGUAGGCGGCCAGAUAAGUCCGCUGUGAAAUCUCGAGGCUCAACUUCGAGCUGUCGGUGGAAACUGUCUGGCUAGAGUCCGGAAGAGGAGAAUGGAAUUCCUGGUGUAGCGGUGAAAUGCGCAGAUAUCAGGAAGAACGCCCGUGGCGAAGGCGGUUCUCUGGGACGGUACUGACGCUGAGACGCGAAAGCGUGGGGAGCGAACAGG
Molecule: ribosomal RNA, 253 nt
Filed under: uncultured bacterium
Lineage: Bacteria
Description: partial 16S ribosomal RNA
Rfam family: Bacterial small subunit ribosomal RNA
Source: RNAcentral